GCGGGUGUCGUAUAAUGGCUAAUUAUGUCAGCCUUCCAAGCUGAAGAUGGCGGUUCGAUUCCGCUCACCCGCUCCA
This 76-nucleotide transfer RNA is filed under the name Candidatus Uhrbacteria bacterium CG_4_9_14_3_um_filter_50_9. RNAcentral describes it as "tRNA-Gly". It matches the Rfam family "tRNA". From Rfam's summary of the family: Transfer RNA (tRNA) molecules are approximately 80 nucleotides in length. Their secondary structure includes four short double-helical elements and three loops (D, anti-codon, and T loops). Lineage: Bacteria; Candidatus Uhriibacteriota. The record is from RNAcentral.